UACGAAGGGUGCAAGCGUUAAUCGGAAUUACUGGGCGUAAAGGGUGCGUAGGCGGUUAUUUAAGUCUGCCGUGAAAUCCCCGGGCUCAACCUGGGAAUGGCGGUGGAUACUGGAUAGCUAGAGUGUGGCAGAGGAUGGUGGAAUUCCCGGUGUAGCGGUGAAAUGCGUAGAGAUCGGGAGGAACAUCAGUGGCGAAGGCGGCCAUCUGGACCAGCACUGACGCUGAGGCACGAAAGCGUGGGGAGCAAACAGG
Molecule: ribosomal RNA, 253 nt
Filed under: uncultured bacterium
Lineage: Bacteria
Description: partial 16S ribosomal RNA
Rfam family: Bacterial small subunit ribosomal RNA
Source: RNAcentral